Molecule: ribosomal RNA, 440 nt
Filed under: uncultured bacterium
Lineage: Bacteria
Description: partial 16S ribosomal RNA
Rfam family: Bacterial small subunit ribosomal RNA
Source: RNAcentral
CCUACGGGAGGCAGCAGUAGGGAAUAUUGCUCAAUGGGGGAAACCCUGAAGCAGCAACGCCGCGUGGAGGAUGAAGGUUUUCGGAUUGUAAACUCCUUUUGUUAGAGAAGAUAAUGACGGUAUCUAACGAAUAAGCACCGGCUAACUCCGUUCCAGCAGCCGCGGUAAUACGGAGGGUGCAAGCGUUACUCGGAAUCACUGGACGUAAAGCGCGCGUAGGCGGGUUAGAAAGUCAGUGGUGAAAUUCUAUGGCUUAACCAUAGAACUGCAUUUGAAACUGGUAUUCUGGAGUAUGGGAGAGGUAGGUGGAAUUCUGGGUGUAGGGGUAAAAUCCGUAGAGAUCAAGAGGAAUACUCAUUGCGAAGGCGACCUGCCAGAACAUAACUGACGCUGAUGCGCGAAAGCGUGGGGAGCAAACAGGAUUAGAUACCCGUGUAGUC